Molecule: non-coding RNA, 433 nt
Organism: Pelobates cultripes (western spadefoot toad)
Lineage: Eukaryota; Metazoa; Chordata; Amphibia; Anura; Pelobatidae
Source: the annotation of a GenBank genome assembly
AUUAGAGCGGCCCCCAAAAAAGGGGGCGGGGCCAGAGAAAGUGAGCAUGUUGGUUCAAUGCGCAGAGCCCCACUGAAGAGCUCUAGCAUUAGAAAAAGGCCCUGUAUUUGUUCUGCGCAGCGCAAGCAAAUGUAAUAACAUGCUUGCGCUGUGUUUGCUUUUAAAUUGUCUCUGGUGUCUCCACAAGUGGGAUACCAGAGGACAAAAGGGCCAGGAAAGUGUAUGGUGCAUGUGUUUGGCGCAUGCUUGUGGGAUUGCCUGUGUGUAGAGUGUGGUGUGGUAUUGUGUAAAUAGGUCAAUUUUGUGGUGUAAUAUGUGUGGCUAGGGGCUAUAGAGAGUGCGUGUAUAGGAGCAUAGUGUUAUAGGGGAUGUAGCGAUUGUGUGCAUACGGGCAGUAGUGUGUGUGUAUAGGUGACGUAGUGUGUGUCACUUA